AGGGAAUCUUCCACAAUGGACGCAAGUCUGAUGGAGCAACGCCGCGUGAGUGAAGAAGGUUUUCGGACCGUAAAGCUCUGUUGUUGGUGAAGAAGGAUAGAGGUAGUAACUGGCCUUUAUUUGACGGUAAUCAACCAGAAAGUCACGGCUAACUACGUGCCAGCAGCCGCGGUAAUACGUAGGUGGCAAGCGUUGUCCGGAUUUAUUGGGCGUAAAGCGAGCGCAGGCGGAAGAAUAAGUCUGAUGUGAAAGCCCUCGGCUUAACCGAGGAAUUGUAUCGGAAACUGUUUUUCUUGAGUGCAGAAGAGGAGAGUAGAACUCCAUGUGUAGCGGUGGAAUGCGUAGAUAUAUGGAAGAAUACCAGUGGCGAAGGCGGCUCUCUGGUCUGCAACUGACGCUGAGGCUCGAAAGCAUGGGUAGCGAACAGGAUUAGAUACCCUGGUAGUCCAUGCCGUAAACGAUGAGUGCUAAGUGUUGGGAGGCUUCCGCCUCUCAGUGCUGCAGCUAACGCAUUAAGCACUCCGCCUGGGGGAGUACGACCGCAAGGUUGAAAC
Molecule: ribosomal RNA, 554 nt
Filed under: uncultured bacterium
Lineage: Bacteria
Description: partial 16S ribosomal RNA
Rfam family: Bacterial small subunit ribosomal RNA
Source: RNAcentral